ACGGGGUGCAGCAGGCGCGAAACCUUUACACUGCACGCCAGUGCGAUAAGGGAAUCCCAAGUGCGCAGGCAUAGAGCCUGCGCUUUUGUCCACCGUAGAGGAGGUGGAAGAAUAAGGGCUGGGCAAGACCGGUGCCAGCCGCCGCGGUAAUACCGGCAGCCCGAGUGAUGGCCGAUCUUAUUGGGCCUAAAGCGUCCGUAGCUGGCCAUACAAGUCCAUCGGAAAAUCCACCCGCUCAACGGGUGGGCGUCCGGUGGAAACUGUAUGGCUUGGGACCGGAAGGCGCGACGGGUACGUCCGGGGUAGGAGUGAAAUCCCGUAAUCCUGGACGGACCGCCGAUGGCGAAAGCACGUCGCGAGGACGGAUCCGACAGUGAGGGACGAAAGCCAGGGUCUCGAACCGGAUUAGAUACCCGGGUAGUCCUGGCCGUAAACAAUGUCUGUUAGGUGUGGCUCCCACUACGAGUGGGUGCUGUGCCGCAGGGAAGCCGCUAAGCAGACCGCCUGGGAAGUACGUCCGCAAGGAUGAAACUUAAAGGAAUUGGCG
RNAcentral lists this ribosomal RNA (547 nucleotides) under Halorubrum sp. AJ131. Its description in RNAcentral is "bacterial SSU rRNA". It matches the Rfam family "Archaeal small subunit ribosomal RNA", at positions 325 to 870 of the family's 1478-position model. The record is from RNAcentral. Lineage: Archaea; Methanobacteriati; Methanobacteriota; Halobacteria; Halobacteriales; Haloferacaceae.